AAGAUACUUUAAAAUCCCAAGAUACACACAUUAACUCAAAUGCUUGGGUUAAACUCUAGCUGAAACGAUUAUACUUUCUCAUGUUUCUCUAUCAGCUCAUUUUUACACCACUUUUUCUCUCCAAUACAGAUGCUACUUGGGAAGUAGGUAGCAGUUUGGAAUAUGAGUUUCAGUUUAGGAAAAAGCACCGAGCUACCAUGUGAAGAUACCUAGUGGAGACUACACGAGCCAGAGGACAGCCAGCAUCAACUUGGAGACAUGUGAGUAAAGUCAUCGAAGACCACCCUUCCUCAGCCAUGCCACUAGGAGCCCAGGCGAGACUGCUGACCAAUGGAAUCAUAAGCAGAAAAACAGCGAGGCCGUUUGUUCUGUAGCAAUAGAUAACUGGUAUAGAAUGUUGGAAUGAAUUAAACAGUCGAGUCAAAAGAUGAGAAAAUGGCCUUUACAAUAUCCUGCUUUCAUGCUUUUAUCAACAAUACAUCUAAAAUCUCAGGAGAGAAAAAAGAUGAAAAUAAAGGGAUAUAAAAAUUAUACCAGGCAAAAACUAAAACUAAGCAAGUGUAAAUUGCCAGUAAUACUAGAUAAGACAGACUAUCACAAAAGGCAGUAUUUGUGCUAAAAAUAGUCAUUCUAUGACUGGGUCAAAAUGUAAGAAAAAUGAAAUAAUAUGAAACUUUAGUGCAUCUAAUAACAUAGUCUCAAAAUACAAAAUGCAAAAAUGGACAAAUCUAUGUAGUGAAAUAGACAAAUCGACAAUUAUAGUGGGAGAUUUCUAACACCCCGUCUUGAUAAUUUAUAUAGUUAAAACAGAAGAAAAAAUCAGUAAGGACAUAGAAGAUUUGAACCUACACAGUUAACAGACUUGACUUAAUGAAUAUAUAAAGAACAUAGUGCCCAAUAACUGAUAUAUACUAUUUUUAGACAUAGAUACAACAUUUAUGAAAACAGAGCACAUGUUGGACCAUAAAACAAAUCUCAACAAACUUUAAAAUACUAGAAUUUUAUAGACUUCAUUUUUUUGGCCAAAAUACAAUUAAGUCUGAAAUCACUAACAAAGACAAUCAGAAAAACUUUAGAUUUGGAAAUUCAAAAACACGUAGAUCAAGAAAAGUCACAAGGAAAAUUCAAAAAUAUUUAAAAAUAAAUAAUAAAAAUAUUAUGUAUCAAAAAGUAUAGGAUGCAGCUGAAGCAGUAGAGCUGAUCUGUAGCUUAAAUACAUACACUAAGAAAGAAAGGUAAAAAUGAAAUAAGCCACAAAGUUAAAACAUCAGAAAAA
Molecule: non-coding RNA, 1276 nt
Organism: Chlorocebus sabaeus (green monkey)
Lineage: Eukaryota; Metazoa; Chordata; Mammalia; Primates; Cercopithecidae
Source: RefSeq, a predicted model, not a curated record